RNAcentral lists this long non-coding RNA (360 nucleotides) under Zostera marina. Its description in RNAcentral is "long non-coding RNA (ZMAR_LNC005557)". The record is from RNAcentral. Lineage: Eukaryota; Viridiplantae; Streptophyta; Magnoliopsida; Alismatales; Zosteraceae.
CUGGUUGCAUUAUCUUCCCUGUAAUCCGUCUUCACAAAUAUCUCAUGGAUGGCUGUGAGAUCCAUUCGAGAACAAGCUUCUGCCAAUGGUGAUGGUGAAUAUUGCUGGAGAUGUUUUGGUAUGGGAAUACCCAACAUCACAUGAGAUGGUACCUGAUGAAAUAAAAAUAUCAAAUCAAUUUGGGUUCCGAUCAAUUAAUUAAUUAUAUGCAGGCAGGCAGGCAGGCACCUCAGAUUUAGAUUGCAGUGAAGCCAAUGUGUGAACGAUGGUGGUGAUUUGGGGUCGAUCUUUGGGAUCAGAUUGUAAGCAUCGAGAUGCAAGUUGAACAACAGCAGUUGCCUCCUCCGUUGGAUAUCUUCC